GUGUCUUUUGAAAGGAGAGCAGGUUAGCACUCCCCUUGACAAGGAUGGAACACAUAAGGGGCCGGAGAGGCACAAAAUUUCCGGCCCUAGUCGAUUUUUUUGU
Molecule: non-coding RNA, 103 nt
Organism: Aedes aegypti (yellow fever mosquito)
Lineage: Eukaryota; Metazoa; Arthropoda; Insecta; Diptera; Culicidae
Source: Rfam